Molecule: RNA transcript, 4624 nt
Organism: Vicia villosa (hairy vetch)
Lineage: Eukaryota; Viridiplantae; Streptophyta; Magnoliopsida; Fabales; Fabaceae
Gene name: cyclin-dependent kinase G-2-like
Exons: 8
Source: RefSeq, a predicted model, not a curated record
GAAUAUUCCCUUUUGCUCUCGCUCUCGACGAGAGUCGAUAUUUUCUUCAGGUUUUGUCGCAAGGCCAUCCUCACUCGUCCCUGAUAAUCAUUAGAGGCGGUUCUAUAAAAUUUUCCCCAAUCUACUUGAAGAUCGGGAUUCCUCUUCCAGCUUCAACAAUCCCAAUUCAAACGGUUCACUUCCAUUCUCCUAAAUUUCUAGGGUUUCAAUUUUGAUCCCGCCAAUUUUAGAUACGCAGCAGCAUUUGAUACUUGAUUUCGCUUUUUUUUUUUCUUCAUCCGAUCUUACUUUCAUAGCUAGGGUUUUACUUGAUAUGUGCACUCUGUUCUUCAAUAAGGAAAUUUAGUUGAAUUGAAUUCAUUGUUUCUGGGCUUUAGGGUUCUAGAAACGGAAUUUUUCCUUUUCCGCUAUAGGCGUUAGGGUUAGGGUUUUCGGUUCGAAUUUAGCAUUUCUUUAUGACGACAGGUAGAGAUGGAGAUUAUCACCAUCACAAAUUCAGGGACAGUGAGUCUGAUUUUGAUAUUUCCAGGCGUGGUUUUACUGAUAAUAAUUUUAAUGAGUAUGACGGGGUUAGAAAUGGUAAGGGUCGGAGGAGGGAUUCGAGAGAUAGAAUUAUUAUGAGGGAGAGAGAAAUUUCAAAUGGUAGUUACCGGUCAUCUUCGAGUAGGAGUGGCUCUAGCAGUAGUGGCGGCCUUAGUGGCAGGCUUGGUCCUAGAAGAUGUGAUUUUUCUGUCAAGACUAUGGAUAGAGAGCCGGGUGAACUUUCUAGUGAGAGUGGAUCCGACGUUGAAGCAGAGUCACUGGUAAAACGCCAUAAGGUUGUGAUGGGUAAAGAGUUUGAUUAUGAUGUUGAAUCAGAAUCACUCUUAAAACACCAUGAGGUUGCAAUGGGCAAAGAAAAUGGGACUGGAUCUCCGUUACAAAGGAAAAGGAAAUUUUCACCAAUAGUAUGGGAUCAAGAUGACCAUAAAGUGACUAAUUUAUCCAAGCUUAAGGUUGUCACAACAACAGUGACUGCUGUUGCUUGUCCACCUCCAUUUCCAAGAGCAGUCGACGAGUCGGCUGAUGUUCCUUACAAUGGAGUUGAAGUUCAUCCUCCUGAGAAUCUUGUGUUGCCGACUGCAGUGGAUCCUUCUAUGGUGACUGAGUCAGUUCAAAAUGCCGAACCUGAGUCUCCUAUAGGUUUGCGUUCGUCUGAGCAGAGGUUGGUUAAUGGGAACACUGAGCAACCAGAAGUUGAAGAUUACGUUUCAACUCACAAUAUAUCAUCUUCAAGAUGGGCAUCUGGAGAUGGCUCUUCGGAUGAUGAAGGUGAAAUCAUUGAUGGGAAGGAAGGCCUUAAAAAGAGGAGGCUAUCUCUUGAGGCGGGUGUGAGAAUACGAAACAAGAUGUUGAAACCAGAGGAAUCUAAAAUUGCAGGUUUUGAAAUGUCUAGAGCCAAAUCAUCCGAAUCUGAAGAAAGAGGUAGCACUGGGAGAUAUUCCGGUGAGGAUGACUAUCCUGGUAUUGAGGCAGGGAAGGAUAACUACAUGGAGAUUGACAGCGGAGUUUGCAAAAGUGAUCCAAGUGGUAGUCACACAAAUACUGAUUCUGAACGCGAAGAUGAUUGCAGGGAAAGUAUGGAACCUCCGUCUCCACCCCAGAGAGUUGUCAACAUGCUUCAGGGAUGUAGAAGUGUUGAUGAGUUUGAGAGACUGAACAAGAUUGAUGAAGGAACAUAUGGUGUUGUAUAUAGGGCCAAAGACAAGAAGACCGGUGAAAUAGUGGCACUGAAAAAGGUUAAGAUGGAGAAGGAAAAAGAAGGCUUUCCACUGACUUCUCUGAGGGAAAUAAACAUACUUCUUUCCUUUCAUCAUCCAUUCAUAGUUGACGUUAAGGAAGUAGUGGUAGGUAGUAGCCUUGAUAGUAUUUUUAUGGUUAUGGAAUACAUGGAACACGAUCUUAAAGGGCUAAUGGAGGCAAUGAAGCAGCCAUUUAGCCAGAGUGAAGUAAAAUGCUUAAUGCUCCAGCUGUUAGAAGGUGUGAAGUAUCUUCACGACAACUGGGUGCUUCACAGGGACUUGAAGACCUCAAACCUGCUUCUGAAUAAUAGGGGCGAGUCAAAAAUUUGUGAUUUCGGAUUAGCUCGUCAGUAUGGGAGUCCAUUGAAACCUUAUACAUCAUUGGUGGUUACUCUUUGGUACAGGGCUCCUGAACUUCUUUUGGGGACAAAGCAGUAUUCAACAGCGAUCGACAUGUGGUCCUUGGGUUGUAUAAUGGCCGAGCUUUUGUCCAAGGAACCAUUGUUUAAUGGGAGGACUGAAUUUGAUCAACUUAACAAGAUUUUCAGAAUUCUUGGCACCCCAAAUGAAACAAUUUGGCCUGGGUUCUCAAAAUUGCCUCUAGUCAAGGCCAAUUAUGUCAAGCACCAGUAUAAUCUCCUGCGCAAAAAGUUUCCCGCAACAUCAUUCACUGGAUCCCCAGUUCUUUCUGAUUCUGGAUUUGAUUUGUUGAACAAGCUUCUCACUUAUGACCCUGAAAAGAGGAUCACUGCUGAAGAUGCUCUCAACCAUGAAUGGUUUCGUGAAGUUCCCCUUCCCAAAUCUAAAGAAUUCAUGCCUACAUUUCCUGCUCAACAUGAUAAAGAAAGGAGAAUGCGAAGAAUGAUGAAGAGUCCACAUCCGUUAGAGAAGCACCGGAAGGAUUUGCAGCUGGGGGAAUCAGGAACCGGUAGUAUUUUUGGUUAACAGUGGUGCAAUCUAGAGUUUUGGUCUUGAUAGUCAUUUUAAAAUUGUUGAAUGUUUGCAUGCUUGAGGUGAGAGUAUGCACCGGAUGGAUGUUCAAUAGACAAUAGCUUGUGCUGUUUUUAUCAGGCACCUGUUUUGUUUGGGUUGAGAUAUGCAUUCUUUACCCCCUGGGAGACAGAUUUAUUUCAGGUUAACCUUCAUUGUUGAUCAUCUUAUAGAAAUGCAAAUGGGACACAACUGGCAGCGUAAGAGAAAGUUCGUGUGAAGUGGAAGAGUGCAUUCUGUCCAUUUUGUUGAAGAAAAUGACACUUACUUUUCACAUCGAAGUAUCAAAGCUAGCAGGUUGAGGAUGUUACCUGUAUACCCUGGAAUAUAUGGAAUUAUGUUCCAUCAGGCUCUCUAGAGGUACCAUCCAAAACUUGGUUCGUUAUAAUACAUCUCUGUAGUUCUAUCAACUACCCAGAAUUUUAAGAUCACAUUCUUUUAUUUAUUUCUGUUGUCGAGGAUUGAUGGGGUGCAUUUUCAGAAGCUCUGUGCAUUAUUUUGCUGAUGUUAGGCUUUUAGAGUUUUAGACAUUUUAUUUGUGCCACAACACUUGACCCCAUGGGUAGAACUAUGUUUUGUUUUUGUUUUUUCUUUCCUUUUUACGAUCUUGGUAUAUGAUAAAUGCCGUUCUCGUCAACUUGAAAGUGGGGUUCACUUGCUGCUUCCCUAUUAAGGCCGACAAUGAAAGAAUUUUGACAAUUGUGGUAGAAUUACUAAUUAGUAAGUACAGCUGGGAGAUGUGCUUGUUUGUUAGGAGCUGCAAGUAUCGUGCAACUCAUAAAAUUUUGACAUUUUGCUGUAUUACCCCGAAUCCCUCUCUUGUUUUUAAUUUUUGCAUUGGCAUGAUGUAAGUAAAUAAUCCAAUUUCCUUUUUUUUUUACCCGACUAAAUUUUACAUAUGUUCUGAUACCAGUUUGAGAUUUGUAGCAAUGUGAAUGUUGUAUGCUAUUCUUGAUUGUAUAAAGUUUGUAGCAAUGUGAAUUGCCAGCGGGCCGUGGCAAUCUUCAAGGUACUUCACUACCAUUAUUCAAAUGGGUUGGUGUCAACUGUAUAAGGUUGUUUUCUAGACUCAUACAGCAAAUGUGCAUGUAGAUUAAUCUGAUUAUCCGUAUGAGAAAAUUAGGUUGAUUUUUUUCCUUUUAUACUUUGAUUAAUAGGUUUGACUUUAGUGCUUCAGUCUAGGAUAUUGCUCGUAAAUCAUCUAAUAACAUAGUGAGUGUUGUCAAUAAAAUGUUAGUGAAUGUUGUCAGCACUACAAUCAUGCUAAAUAUAUGAACCAAGUUUCAAAAUUGGAUAGGACUAGAUUUUUGUUGUAUGCACUAUUAUUGCUAAUUAUAGUGGCUUUUAGGUUGAAGGCUCCAACAAGGUACACACCAAUGGAUCAAAUGAACAUAAUUAAUAGUCAAUAGACUAAUCAAAUCCACAAAUCUAACUAACUAUGUGCUACAUAGGCUAGAUUCCAUCUCUCUUUUCUUCCCCGUGUUCAACUCUUCUCUACCUCCAAAGCCAUACCCACCAACACAAUCAUAUGGCCCUUUCCCAUGCCUUUGGUGAAGAACACUUGGUGAAAGAGAACACUUGAUGUUAACGUGGUAAUAACAUAAAUCUUAGUUUUUUUUCCAAUCAUGUAGAAGCAUUUCUUGUCAAGAGACCAUAGCAUCUCUAAAGACAUCACUUAAAAUUUCUGCCUUCAUGUGGCGGUAUUUCCCACGUGGGAUUCAAUUUCAUUACAAUAACCAUUAAAUCUUUACAGGGUUCUAGUUUCUUAGAAGUCAAUUGAAAAUUAAAAAAUGUAUCGGUAGAUUAGGCAAACUAGUUUGUUGUUAUAUUUUUUAUUGUACAAUCACGUACAA